UCUCCCUGGGAAACGGGUGGUAAUGCCGGAUGCUCCGACUCCUCGCAUGGGGUGUCGGGAAAGAUUUCAUCGGUAUGGGAUGGGGUCGCGUCCUAUCAGGUAGUCGGCGGGGUAACGGCCCACCGAGCCUACGACGGGUAGCCGGCCUGAGAGGGCGACCGGCCACAUUGGGACUGAGAUACGGCCCAGACUCCUACGGGAGGCAGCAGUGGGGAAUAUUGCACAAUGGGCGCAAGCCUGAUGCAGCGACGCCGCGUGCGGGAUGACGGCCUUCGGGUUGUAAACCGCUUUUGAUCGGGAGCAAGCCUUCGGGUGAGUGUACCUUUCGAAUAAGCACCGGCUAACUACGUGCCAGCAGCCGCGGUAAUACGUAGGGUGCAAGCGUUAUCCGGAAUUAUUGGGCGUAAAGGGCUCGUAGGCGGUUCGUCGCGUCCGGUGUGAAAGUCCAUCGCUUAACGGUGGAUCUGCGCCGGGUACGGGCGGGCUGGAGUGCGGUAGGGGAGACUGGAAUUCCCGGUGUAACGGUGGAAUGUGUAGAUAUCGG
This 544-nucleotide ribosomal RNA is filed under the name Bifidobacterium pseudocatenulatum. Its description in RNAcentral is "bacterial SSU rRNA". It matches the Rfam family "Bacterial small subunit ribosomal RNA", at positions 144 to 700 of the family's 1533-position model. The record is from RNAcentral. Lineage: Bacteria; Bacillati; Actinomycetota; Actinomycetes; Bifidobacteriales; Bifidobacteriaceae.